CAUGCCAGAACUGACUUUGCAUUCAGAAAGAUAUAUGUGACUUCCCUGAAUGCUUAAGAAAUUAAAGUCUUAAUCUGUGGAACUGUUUUCUAAUUGCCAAAUAAUUGCUGUAAGAAUUUUAGCAAUAUAUUUAAAACUGGUUUAAAAAUGGUUUUGGGUUAACAUCAAAAUGAACAUAUAAAAUUUAAAAAUUCUCAUAAACCCUACAGACUCUGUUGGAGAAACAUUUUAUGAAAAACAAUUAUAUUAAAUGCAUACUGGGGAAUUUCUUAAAAUCCAUAUUAAUAUUUU
This 291-nucleotide long non-coding RNA is filed under the name Bos taurus (domestic cattle). RNAcentral describes it as "long non-coding RNA NONBTAT023024". Lineage: Eukaryota; Metazoa; Chordata; Mammalia; Artiodactyla; Bovidae. The record is from RNAcentral.